CUCUAUGUCUUCUGUGUUCUGACUUUCACCACAUUGUCGUUCAUCUCUAUGCUCUUUCUCGGACUUCGAAGCCUUCUUUUCUGAAGUUCCGUCUAACUGGAGAUCCGGGGGUGAGCUUGUUGGAGAAUUCCCAGUCGUUUCUACAGGUGAAAGCUGUGCUGGUGGAUGUGGCUGGGGUGACUUAAGAGCGCUAGCUACAGGUGAAAGCGGUGUCGGUGGGGGAGGUGGUGGUUUGAUGCUAAGGAUGGGCUCUUUCUGGUUGCCUUUGUCAGCCAAAGACAGCUUGUCAAUGCCCAGCUCCGCAGCUUUUGACU
Molecule: long non-coding RNA, 314 nt
Filed under: Gossypium raimondii (Peruvian cotton)
Lineage: Eukaryota; Viridiplantae; Streptophyta; Magnoliopsida; Malvales; Malvaceae
Description: long non-coding RNA (GRAI_LNC005114)
Source: RNAcentral